Non-coding RNA from Lolium perenne, 589 nucleotides. Lineage: Eukaryota; Viridiplantae; Streptophyta; Magnoliopsida; Poales; Poaceae. The record is from RefSeq and is a predicted model, not a curated record.
CUUACAAGGUUUGUUCCAUAAGCCUAGAGCUUUUUGCAAGCACAGUUCACUCAGGAGUCAACAUUAAUGAGCAUAUAUCUAAGAUCAAUCCUCUCUAGGAUGUGGUAUCGCGUCGAGGCUACGGGUUUAGGACCACCUUAAACUCCGAGGACUCUGCUCCAGUGUUCCAUGGCACUGAUGGUGUGCAUCAUAUGUUAAAUGGAGCAGAGUCUAUUUUUUCUUGCAGCGACCACCUGAAAUUCAUCUCCACCAGGCCAAAAGCAAGGUCAGCCCCGGGCUCUGCCCUCACCCUUCUGACGCUAGAGCACUCCACGGACGGCAACAACAGCACCGUCGUGGGACCGUCCUAGGAAGAAAAUCGUCAUUAUCUACCACUGAUUUUGCCUACAAACAACGGUAUGGCUCAGAGUCCCUAGCCAGACCGCUCCUCUACUGCUAAUUAAGGUAAUAUAUACACAGGCACCAUCUGGCUGAAGCCAGUAGAAACAAGGAUCGGCACCAUGUAAAAUAGUUCACUAGAACAAUGCACCGGCCCCGUCUAGCUUUGCCCAGUAUACGGGCGCCGGUUAGCCCCACUAUGUAAUCGAAU